This 465-nucleotide ribosomal RNA is filed under the name uncultured bacterium. RNAcentral describes it as "partial 16S ribosomal RNA". It matches the Rfam family "Bacterial small subunit ribosomal RNA", at positions 28 to 507 of the family's 1533-position model. The record is from RNAcentral.
GACGAACGCUGGCGGCGUGCUUAACACAUGCAAGUCGAACGGAAAGGCCCCUUUGGGGGUCCUCGAGUGGCGAACGGGUGAGUAACACGUGAGUAACCUUCCCUUGACUUCGGGAUAACUUCAGGAAACUGGGGCUAAUACCGGAUAGGAAUCCUUGCUGCAUGGUGGGGGUUGGAAAGCUUCGGCGGUUUUGGAUGGACUCGCGGCUUAUCAGCUUGUUGGUGGGGUAGUGGCUUACCAAGGCUUUGACGGGUAGCCGGCCUGAGAGGGCGACCGGCCACAUUGGGACUGAGAUACGGCCCAGACUCCUACGGGAGGCAGCAGUGGGGAAUAUUGCACAAUGGGCGGAAGCCUGAUGCAGCAACGCCGCGUGCGGGAUGACGGCCUUCGGGUUGUAAACCGCUUUCAGCAGGGGCGAAGCUUGUGGUGACGGUACCUGCAGAAGAAGCACCGGCUAACUACGUG